Molecule: non-coding RNA, 235 nt
Organism: Phascolarctos cinereus (koala)
Lineage: Eukaryota; Metazoa; Chordata; Mammalia; Diprotodontia; Phascolarctidae
Source: RefSeq, a predicted model, not a curated record
GCCACACAGAGAUUUCCCCUGGCCUUGGGUACAAGAGCCCCAAUUUCCCAGCCAAUGGGAGUGUGUCAUGGACCUUGCUGCCCGGGACUUCAGGGAAAUUCAUCCUCAGUGGAGCCUGGUAGAUGGACCAUGCGCUCAGCUGCAGUGGACUGGUAAGGGAACAGCAGGAUCUCAAAGCAUACCCAUGGCAAUGACUCACCCUCCGAGGUAUGACUUGAAAGCUGAUGAAAUAACC